UAUCAAACAGUCAGAAGUCCUGCUAGGCUAAUAGCUGGUCAUGUGAUCAAUUUUGGAAUCAAUAUAACAGGCUGCCAGCAGCUGCCAGCAGUUUCUGAUUCAUCAAAGACAUCACUCUCAAGGCUGGUUGGUUGGCCAGAGUUUCUCAUCAAGGAGUACAUGCUGUUUGCUCCCCAGAUGGACAGCCUGGAUGAGCUACAAAUCCACAGAGCCUGGGACACAAGAAAUUCUAAUGCUCAACAAAUGCUGCAAGUAGGUCAAACCUUCACUGGAAAACCAGGUUGGGUUGCAGACACCAGAUGACAGGAGGGGCAGUGACAGAUUGGAGUGACCCAGAGUACCGGAACA
Long non-coding RNA from Prionailurus viverrinus (fishing cat), 348 nucleotides. RefSeq lists it as uncharacterized. The record is from RefSeq and is a predicted model, not a curated record. Lineage: Eukaryota; Metazoa; Chordata; Mammalia; Carnivora; Felidae. The transcript has 4 exons.